RNAcentral lists this ribosomal RNA (925 nucleotides) under uncultured archaeon. Its description in RNAcentral is "bacterial SSU rRNA". It matches the Rfam family "Archaeal small subunit ribosomal RNA", at positions 1 to 925 of the family's 1478-position model. The record is from RNAcentral.
UUUCCGGUUGAUCCUGCCGGAGGCCAUUGCUAUCGGAGUCCGAUUUAGCCAUGCUAGUCGAGCGAGGUUAGCCCUCGCGGCGAACAGCUCAGUAACACGUGGCCAAGCUACCCUGCAGAGGGGGACAGCGUCGGGAAACUGAGGUUAACCCGUCAUACCGAUCUCAGGCUUGAAUCGCAGAGAUCACCAAACGCCCCGGCGCUGUAGGAUGUGGCUGCGGUUGAUUAGGUUGACGGUGGGGUAACGGCCCACCGUGCCCAUAAUCAGUACAGGUUGUGAGAGCAAGAACCUGGAGACGGAAUCUGAGACAAGAUUCCGGGCCCUACGGGGCGCAGCAGGCGCGAAACCUUUACACUGCACGCACGUGCGAUAAGGGGACUCCGAGUGCGAGGGCAUAUCGUCCUCGCUUUCGUGUACCGUAGGGUGGUACACCAACAAGGGCUGGGCAAGACCGGUGCCAGCCGCCGCGGUAAUACCGGCAGCCCGAGUGAUGACCGAUCUUAUUGGGCCUAAAGCGUCCGUAGCUGGCUGCGCAAGUCCGUCGGGAAAUCCACUCGCCCAACGAGUGGGCGUCCGACGGAAACUGCACAGCUUGGGACCGGAAGGCUCGAAGGGUACGUUCGGGGUAGGAGUGAAAUCCCAUAAUCCCGCACGGACCACCGAUGGCGAAAGCACUUCGAGAAAACGGAUCCGACAGUGAGGGACGAAAGCUAGGGUCUCGAACCGGAUUAGAUACCCGGGUAGUCCUAGCUGUAAACGAUGUUCGCUAGAUGUGGCACAGGCUACGUGCCUGUGCUGUGUCGUAGGGAAGCCGAGAAGCGAACCGCCUGGGAAGUACGUCCGCAAGGAUGAAACUUAAAGGAAUUGGCGGGGGAGCACUACAACCGGAGGAGCCUGCGGUUUAAUUGGAUUCAACGCCGGAAUU